Molecule: long non-coding RNA, 642 nt
Filed under: Bos taurus (domestic cattle)
Lineage: Eukaryota; Metazoa; Chordata; Mammalia; Artiodactyla; Bovidae
Description: long non-coding RNA NONBTAT001574
Source: RNAcentral
CUCCAGUGAUGAAGGCCAAGUUUGGCCAGUGGGCAAAGAAGAAGUGUGGACAGGUUCCAGCACUAGUAUCAAAAAUCAGGACAAAGAAGAGUGGAUCUGCACGUGAGGGACCACCCUCAGUUGCUCCAGAUUGUGAAAUAAAUAGAAGCAAUGUCUGAGAAGGCCUGAACAGAAGUUAUCACCCCCAAAAGAGCAAGGCAAUGGAUUUGGACAAGAAAUUGCAUCUCGAGACAGAAUGAAUGAGGAUGAACCAAAGUGAGGCCACAGGGAUGAAGAGCCUUGAUGAGAGGCAGCAGUAUUGACCACAAUUGAUGGGGGCAGGGAUGGAGACUGGCCAAAUUUACAGGAAAGAUGGAUGGUUGGAGUUUCAACCUGCUGACACCCAAAUCAAGCUUCAGUCUAUACAGAAAAUAGCAAAGACCCAAUUAAUGGUGCUGUACACUGAAAACAGCAUCUUUGUGUCAACAGCUUGUGCGUUCUUCCAAAGUCCAAGAGAGAAGGGCCUGAGGCGAUUUCUCUUACUGAUUGAAACCUGAAGAAAGUAAGGACCUUGGAGUUAAAGUUUCCAAGGUUUGACUUCCCAUAUUGUCUCCCAUUUCAGUAUCAUUCAAAAGUACACGUCAAAAAUAAAUCUUACAAAUA